GAAAAACCUUUUAUAUACCCAAAUGAAAGUAUGAGUUAUCUCUUGCAAGUGGACAGCCGAGCUUGAGAAAGAUUGGGAUUUCUACAGGAAGAUGUCAAGAUUGAAUCCUCUAGAUAAGCAUAAUUAGUCAUUUUCAUGAUGAAAUUGAGACAGUUUUAAUCCAUGUCCUUCGGAUAUACUUGACUAAUAAUUGCCAAUGUCUCUGUUUUUUUCUCUGCCUCUUCCCUGUUUAAUCUUUUGUAAUUGGCCAUCUGCUUUGUUCUCCUCUGCCUCUUGUAAAUAUGCCCUGUUUCGAAUUAUUCAGUUUUGGUCAUU
This 315-nucleotide unclassified non-coding RNA is filed under the name Hevea brasiliensis (rubber tree). The record is from RNAcentral. Lineage: Eukaryota; Viridiplantae; Streptophyta; Magnoliopsida; Malpighiales; Euphorbiaceae.